GGAAGCUUGCUUCCUAUGAAAUCGAGUGGCAAACGGGUGAGUAACGCGUAAACAACCUGCCCUUCGGAUGGGGAUAACAGCCGGAAAUGGCUGCUAAUACCGAAUACGAUCUUUUCGUCGCAUGACGGAAAGAAGAAAGGAUGGCCUCUAUACAAAGCUAUCGCCGAAGGAGGGGUUUGCGUCUGAUUAGCUGGUUGGAGGGGUAACGGCCCAACAAGGCGAUGAUCAGUAGCCGGUCUGAGAGGAUGAACGGCCACAUUGGGACUGAGACACGGCCCAGACUCCUACGGGAGGCAGCAGUGGGGAAUCUUCCGCAAUGGACGAAAGUCUGACGGAGCAACGCCGCGUGAGUGAAGAAGGUCUUCGGAUUGUAAAGCUCUGUUAUACGGGACGAAAAAGACGGAUGCCAACAGUAUCCGUCCGUGACGGUACCGUAAGAGAAAGCCACGGCUAACUACGUGCCAGCAGCCGCGGUAAUACGUAGGUGGCAAGCGUUGUCCGGAAUUAUUGGGCGUAAAGGGCGCGCAGGCGGUUCGGUAAGUCUGUCUUAAAAGUGCGGGGCUUAACCCCGUGAGGGGACGGAAACUGUCGAACUUGAGUGUCGGAGAGGAAAGCGGAAUUCCUAGUGUAGCGGUGAAAUGCGUAGAUAUUAGGAGGAACACCGGUGGCGAAAGCGGCUUUCNNNACGACAACUGACGCUGAGGCGCGAAAGCGUGGGGAG
RNAcentral lists this ribosomal RNA (721 nucleotides) under uncultured bacterium. RNAcentral's name for it is "bacterial SSU rRNA". It matches the Rfam family "Bacterial small subunit ribosomal RNA", at positions 74 to 768 of the family's 1533-position model. The record is from RNAcentral.